GACGAACGCUGGCGGCGUGCUUAACACAUGCAAGUCGAACGGAAAGGCCUGCUUUCCCUUGUGGAUUGCGGUUACUCGCGUGGCGAACGGGUGAGUAACACGUGCGUUAUCUUCUCCCAACUUUUCUAUAAGCCUGGGAUACUGCGUCUAAUUCCCUAUUGCUCUGUAGUGUGGUGCCUGUGGUUGCAAACGAUUUUCUUGUGCUUGCGGCUGAGCUGGCGGCCUAUCAGCUUGUUGGUUGGGUAAUGGCCUACCAAGGCGGCGACUGGUAGCCGGCCUGGGAGGGUGGGCGGCAACAUUGGGACGGAGAAACGGCCCAGACUACUACGGGAGGAAGCAGUGGGGAAGAAUGAACAAUGAGCGGAAGACAGAGGCAGCGAGGCCGAGUGAGGGAUGACGGCCUUCGGGUUGUAAACUCCUGGCGACAGCGAGGAAGCGACCUGGUUGGAAGGGGGGUGACGGUAGUGGUAGAAGAAGCACCGGCUAACUACGUG
Molecule: ribosomal RNA, 494 nt
Filed under: uncultured bacterium
Lineage: Bacteria
Description: partial 16S ribosomal RNA
Rfam family: Bacterial small subunit ribosomal RNA
Source: RNAcentral